UGGGGAAUAUUGGACAAUGGGCGCAAGCCUGAUCCAGCCAUGCCGCGUGAGUGAUGAAGGCCCUAGGGUUGUAAAGCUCUUUUACCGGUGAAGAUAAUGACGGUAACCGGAGAAGAAGCCCCGGCUAACUUCGUGCCAGCAGCCGCGGUAAUACGAAGGGGGCUAGCGUUGUUCGGAUUUACUGGGCGUAAAGCGCACGUAGGCGGACUUUUAAGUCAGGGGUGAAAUCCCGGGGCUCAACCCCGGAACUGCCUUUGAUACUGGAAGUCUUGAGUAUUGUAGAGGUGGGUGGAAUUCCGAGUGUAGAGGUGAAAUUCGUAGAUAUUCGGAGGAACACCAGUGGCGAAGGCGGCUCACUGGACCAUUACUGGCGCUGAGGUGCGAAAGCGUGGGGAGCAAACAGG
Molecule: ribosomal RNA, 404 nt
Filed under: Actinomycetes bacterium
Lineage: Bacteria; Bacillati; Actinomycetota; Actinomycetes
Description: Actinobacteria bacterium partial 16S ribosomal RNA
Rfam family: Bacterial small subunit ribosomal RNA
Source: RNAcentral